UACGUAGGGUGCAAGCGUUGUCCGGAAUUAUUGGGCGUAAAGAGCUCGUAGGCGGUUUGUCGCGUCGAAUGUGAAAACCCGGGGCUCAACCCCGGGCCUGCAUUCGAUACGGGCAGACUAGAGUUCGGUAGGGGAGUCUGGAAUUCCUGGUGUAGCGGUGAAAUGCGCAGAUAUCAGGAGGAACACCGGUGGCGAAGGCAGGACUCUGGGCCGAUACUGACGCUGAGGAGCGAAAGCGUGGGGAGCAAACAGG
Molecule: ribosomal RNA, 253 nt
Filed under: uncultured bacterium
Lineage: Bacteria
Description: partial 16S ribosomal RNA
Rfam family: Bacterial small subunit ribosomal RNA
Source: RNAcentral